GCGGUCGUGGCGGAAUUGGUAGACGCGCAGCGUUGAGGUCGCUGUGCCCGAAAGGGCGUGGAAGUUCGAGUCUUCUCGACCGCACCA
RNAcentral lists this transfer RNA (87 nucleotides) under Caulobacter sp. RNAcentral's name for it is "tRNA-Leu". It matches the Rfam family "tRNA". Rfam says of the family: Transfer RNA (tRNA) molecules are approximately 80 nucleotides in length. Their secondary structure includes four short double-helical elements and three loops (D, anti-codon, and T loops). RNAcentral also lists the same sequence under 28 other names. The record is from RNAcentral. Lineage: Bacteria; Pseudomonadati; Pseudomonadota; Alphaproteobacteria; Caulobacterales; Caulobacteraceae.